GGAGGGAUGUCCGAGUGGUUGAAGGAGCUCGCCUGGAAAGCGGGUAUGCCGUGUUGAACGGUAUCGAGGGUUCGAAUCCCUCUCCCUCCG
RNAcentral lists this transfer RNA (90 nucleotides) under Bacteroidota bacterium. RNAcentral describes it as "Bacteroidetes bacterium tRNA-Ser". It matches the Rfam family "tRNA". From Rfam's summary of the family: Transfer RNA (tRNA) molecules are approximately 80 nucleotides in length. Their secondary structure includes four short double-helical elements and three loops (D, anti-codon, and T loops). The record is from RNAcentral. RNAcentral also lists the same sequence under 1 other name. Lineage: Bacteria; Pseudomonadati; Bacteroidota.